Oncorhynchus tshawytscha (Chinook salmon) is the source of this 1761-nucleotide long non-coding RNA. NCBI's taxonomy places the organism in Eukaryota, Metazoa, Chordata, Actinopteri, Salmoniformes, Salmonidae. The record is from Ensembl.
CAAAACCAAAACCCACGGCCUCCUCUGUCCUGCUGCGCCCAUCAACCUGCAGUUUGCCGACAGACAACCCUAGACCAAAACCCACGGCCGUCUUCUGUCCUGCUGCGCCCAUAAACCUGCAGUUUGCCGACAGACAACCCUAGACCAAAACCCACGGCCGUCCUCUGUCCUACUGCGCCCAUCAACCUGCAGUUUGCCGACAGACAACCCUAGACCAAAACCCACGGCCGUCCUCUGUCCUACUGCGCCCAUCAACCUGCAGUUUGCCGACAGACAACCCUGGACAGAUACACUGUUUCACUCCUUUCUUCUCUUUAUCUCUCUAGUGAGGAGGUAAAUUUGGAGAAUAACAGACAGACUGUCGUAAGGCAGGUUUAUACCAUCCUGUACCCAGAUGCCAUUGUUCUGUGUAAACAGCCUCUAAGAUACAGGAUGUACACAGACCAUAAGUGUCAGCUUUUUAUAUAUAUAUACAAUAUCAAUACUUGUUUCAUUUACAACUUUUCUAAGUCCUGUUAUCAACUGACUUCAGCACAGUGUCUGGCUGUGGAUUGGCUGCAGUGUCUGGCUGUGGAUUGGCUGCAGUGUCUGGCUGUGGAUUGGCUGUCUGGCUGUGGAUUGGCUGCAGCGUCUGGCUGUGGAUUGGCUGCAGUGUCUGGCUGCUGGAUUGGCUGCAGUGUCUGGCUGUGGAUUGGCUGCAGUGUCUGGCUGUGGAUUGGCUGCAGUGUCUGGCUGUGGAUUGGCUGCAGUGUUUGAAUGGAAUGUUGGCAUAUAAUUUUUUUUUUUAAUACAAAAAAACUGAAGAAAAAAAACUGUCUAGCUAACAAACAACCUGUGCAGUUCUAUCUACAUUACAUUGACUAGCUAUGCAAUUUCAAACAGAGACUGGAAUAACCUGUUUGUUUAGGUUAUAAAUGAGCACACAGAAACUAACCCAGUGCACUUCUUCAAAUCUCUUACAAUCUUUAUAUGUUCAAAAGGUACUUUAUUUUAUUUUUCUGACUGACCUUGAAUUGUUCAAACUGUUUUUUUGGGGGUUUCUUCCCGGACUUGUUUCCUGGUCACGUGAGAGACUGUUGUUUUAUACUGUAUGUAGGAAGCACCGCAGAGAGACUAUUUAUGAAGAAAGGAUGGAAAUGGAGAGCGGGCUUGUCGAAGGGCAGAGAAAUACAUAAACUGUAGGUUCCUUCUGUUUGAUGAGGAAGAAGGUUUUUCAUAGAGAUUCCAGAUCUGGAAACCUCAUGGGAAAAGGUAUUUAGAAAGUGUCUUGUUGUUUUGGUGUCGUACUGCUCUGAGCAGUGAAAUGAGUCUGACGUCAAAAGGUGCCAGGGUCUAACCGAGUCUCCCUGUUUGAACUUCGUAAGGAAGAGAAUUGGAUGUUCAUCUAUGAUUGGUAGACUAAUGUCCGACCAGUUUCUAUAAAUUCCACGUUAACUAAUUGAGAUGAUGGUUCCAUGUCCAAGAAUAAAGUCACUUCCUGUUGAGUUCCGUAAUAAAGUCACUUCCUGUUCCGUAUUCUGUCUUGUGUCCUAAGUUUGACCUUUUCUUCUGGGCCCCAUCUGGGCCCCUCUCUCCACACCCACUAAACCACUGUUUAUACAUGUUACUUUUCAUCUGGGCCCCUCUCUCCACACCCACUAAACCACUGUUUAUACAUGUUACUUUUCAUCUGGGCCCCUCUCUCCACACCCACUAAACCACUGUUUACACAUGUUACUUUUCAUCUAGGCCCCUCUCUCCACACCCUCUAAACCACUGUUU